CUUUGUUUAAUUUAAUUUAAAAUAUUUGCUUGUCAAGUAAAAAACACAUGAAAGUUGUAACAAAAU
This 66-nucleotide transfer RNA is filed under the name Vertigo pusilla. RNAcentral describes it as "tRNA-Asp". Lineage: Eukaryota; Metazoa; Mollusca; Gastropoda; Stylommatophora; Vertiginidae. The record is from RNAcentral.